RNAcentral lists this ribosomal RNA (460 nucleotides) under uncultured bacterium. Its description in RNAcentral is "partial 16S ribosomal RNA". It matches the Rfam family "Bacterial small subunit ribosomal RNA", at positions 338 to 795 of the family's 1533-position model. The record is from RNAcentral.
CCUACGGGUGGCAGCAGUGAGGAAUAUUGGUCAAUGGGCGCGAGCCUGAUCCAGCCACGUCGCGUGAAGGAUGAAUGCCCUACGGGUUGUAACCUUCUUUUAUAAAGGAGUAACGUGGGGCGCGUGUGCCUUUUUGGAUGUCCUUUCUGAAUAAGGAUCGGCUAACUCCGUGCCAGCAGCCGCGGUAAUACGGAGGAUCCGAGCGUUAUCCGGAUUUAUUGGGUGUAAAGGGAGCGUAGAUGGGUUGUUAAGUCAGUUGUGAAAGUUUGCGGCUCAACCGUAAAAUUGCACUUGAUACUGGCAGGCUUGAGUACAGGUGAGGUAGGCGGAAUUCGUGGUGUAGCGGUGAAAUGCGUAGAUAUUACGAAGAACUCCGAUGGCGAAGGCAGCUUACUAAACUGCCACUGACAUUGAGGCUCGAAAGUGUGGGUAGCAAACAGGAUUAGAUACCCGUGUAGUC